CUGCGUGAGACGCCGUCGGCAAGUUCCGACUAGACGGUUCGCCAACCCUCGUGGGUGGCUCGGAUGACGAAGCGGCCGACGUUAGACGACGUCGGCGAGAGGGCCUC
RNAcentral lists this non-coding RNA (107 nucleotides) under Mycobacterium intermedium. RNAcentral's name for it is "SAM-IV sequence". It matches the Rfam family "SAM (S-adenosyl methionine) riboswitch aptamer". Rfam says of the family: SAM-IV is a mRNA element that regulates gene expression via direct sensing of S-adenosylmethionine (SAM or AdoMet). Lineage: Bacteria; Bacillati; Actinomycetota; Actinomycetes; Mycobacteriales; Mycobacteriaceae. The record is from Rfam by way of RNAcentral.